Molecule: ribosomal RNA, 372 nt
Filed under: uncultured bacterium
Lineage: Bacteria
Description: bacterial SSU rRNA
Rfam family: Bacterial small subunit ribosomal RNA
Source: RNAcentral
AUACGGAGGAUGCAAGCGUUAUCCGGAUUUAUUAGGUUUAAAGGGUGCGUAGGUGGGCGUUUAAGUCAGUGGUUAAAGCCAUUAGCUUAACUAAUGUAUGCCAUUGAUACUGGAUGUCUUGAAUGUGGUAGAGGUAGGCGGAAUGUGUUGUGUAGCGGUGAAAUGCUUAGAUAUAACACAGAACACCGAUUGCGAAGGCAGCUUACUAUUCCAUUAUUGACGCUGAUGCACGAAAGCGUGGGGAUCAAACAGGAUUAGAUACCCUGGUAGUCCACGCUGUAAACUAUGAUCACUCGUUUUAGGCGAUAUAUAGUCAGAGACUGAGCGAAAGCAUUAAGUGAUCCACCUGGGGAGUACGUUCGCAAGAAUGAA